This 5496-nucleotide long non-coding RNA is filed under the name Sus scrofa (pig). RNAcentral's name for it is "lncRNA (ENSSSCG00005023553.1)". Lineage: Eukaryota; Metazoa; Chordata; Mammalia; Artiodactyla; Suidae. The record is from RNAcentral.
UUUGCUGCCUUCUAUUGAUAAAUGAAAUCACAAGGCAGAGUGAGUUCCCAGGGGGUGCAGGGGGGGGCAUUAUCACAGCUGUGGCACAGGUUUGAGCCCUGGUCUGAGACUUUCUGCAUGCUGUGGGUACGGCAAAAAAAGAAAAAGAAAAAAAAGAAAGAAAGAAAAAAAAGAAAAAAUCACAAGGGCAGCCAGGCUCAGUGCGUGGGAAAAUAAAUUCCAUGUCUUGCUAGGAUUGCAUCUGCGGAGCUUUUGUUAGUACCUUUUGAACAUGUGAACAUGAGAAAGACUGGCCUGCAUUUUUCCUGUCUCAGAAUAUCUUGCCUGGUUUGGGGAUCAGGGUAACGCCGGCCUCAUGGGAUGAGUUGGGAUCUAAUCCCUUCUCCUGGAUUUUCUGGAAGAGUUAUAUAGAAAGUUGUUAUUAUUCUUCCUUAAGUGUUUGGCAGAAUUCACCAGUGAAGCUCAGCUGGGCCUGGUGUUUUCUCUGUGGGAAGAGACCCCAGAGCCUUGAGAAAUAUUUCUUCCUUCUUGGAUUGCCGGACUGGAAGGAAAAGUCUGGCUCCAUUUCUUGACUUCUUAGUGCUUUAGCCCCUUGGAAUCUGGCUCCCUUCCUCCCUCCUUCCCUCCCUCUCUUCCUCCUUCCCUCCCUUCUUUCUAUCCUUCCUUCAGCACAUUUAUUGAGCUCCAUCUAGAAAGGAGGCACUGUCUUAAAAGCUGAGAAUAUCGACCUGCAGAAACCUGCCAGGUCCCGGACACUGUGGCACAGGAGAGAGUCAACCCCCAAGUCAGCAACUAUAACAUAACAUCAGGUCAUGAGAGGUGCUACAAGGAGAAAGAUAAAGAAGGGCUUUGGGGAAUUCCCUGGUGGUACAGUGGGUUAAGAACCCAACUGGUAUCCAUGAGGAUGCGGGUUGAAUCCCUGGCCUCGGCCAGUGGGUUAAGGAUCAAGCAUGUAGUGAGCUGAGGUGUAGGUUGCAGAUAUGGCUCAGAUCCUGCCUUGCUGUGGCUGCAGUGGAGGCCAGCAGCUGCAGCUCUGAUUUGACCCCUAGCCUGGGAACCUCCAUAUGCCGCAGGUAUGGCCCUAAAAAGGAAAAAAAAAUUAGGAGUUCCCUGGUGGUACAGUGGGUUAAGGAUCCAGCAUUGUCACUGGUGUGGCUCUGGCUACUGCUGUGUUGUGAGUUCAGUCCCUGGCCCAGGAACUUCUACAUACUGCCGGCACAGCCAAAAAAUAAAAAUAAAAAGAGAGAGAGGGAGAAAGCUUUAGUUUAUUUCACUGAAAUUGUUAUUCCCAAGUUGCCAGUGAGCGGCUUUUCCAUCCUGAUGCCCUCUUGCCACUCUCUCCUGUCUCAGCUACUAGCCACUGUGUCUCCCAUCUGCACACCCACGACGCGGGGAUUUCUGUUCCUGGCUCCUGUUUUCUCCUGGGUGACAGUGCCACCCGUAUUGCCACCUGCCUGAACGCAUUUCUGCCAUUGGUAACCUGACGUUUCUAACACCAGAUGAACUGCUUCCCUCGUCUCUCAAAUGUGCUCUUUCUGCUCCAAGCCAAGCACAUUGGUGGCACCCACAUCCCCUCUGGGCCCCCAGAAUCCUUUGCCCAACCCUCUACCCAUCACUGGGUCCUACUGAUUCUGCUUCUUCCUUUUCUCUCUCCUAUUUUUCUUUCUGUCACGCCUGUGGCAUGCGGACGUUCCCAGGCCAAGGAUGGAACCAGAGCCGCAGCAGUGACGAUGCCAAGUCCUUAACCCGUUGAGGCACCAGGGAGCUCCCCACUUCUCAGUUUUUACUUUCCUCCAAACCCUCUCUGUUUCUCACCAGGGCUGCCCCAUCAGCUUCCCCCAGUUCACCUCCUUCUAAUUCAUCCUCCUGAGAGUGAAAUGUUUUUCUUCUAGAGACAGAACUUAUUCCUUUCCUGCUUCCAAGCCUUCCGCAUCUCCCCACUGCCUCCAGGAUAACGUUCAAACUCCCAGGCCCCAUCAGGCUGCUCACCAGGCCGAGUUCCGAGUUCUGACUCGGCUCCAGGCCCCGUCCAGCUCACACCCUGCUCACACUGGUAAUGCUUCGGUGCCUCGGAGCAGCCUGUUCCUUUGCCUGCAACACCCUGUCCCCACGGCUCUGCCUGGCAAACUGCCCCAUCCUUUGAGACCCAGCCCAGAAGUCACUUCCUCCAUGAAUCCUCUGAUGCCGCCCCCGCUCCACCUCGGGGCUAGUCAUACCUUCCUUUGCGUACUCACAGCACACAUGCCAUCAGGUCAUGUUUGUUUAUUCAUACACCCUGUUCUUUAUGGACCCGGCAGCUCCCAGGGGGCACGGAGCCUGCCUUACACACUCGUGUGUCACCAGGCCCCAGUACGCAGUGUGUAGGCAAUCAAUGCUCGCAGCCUGAAUAAUUGCUCCUUUUUUUUCUUUUUCUUUUUUCUUUUUCUUUUUUUUUUUUUUCCCCAUACUGAUGGGCUAGGAAAGUUCCUGGGCCAGGGUUUGAAUCCGAACCUCAGCUUCGACCUACACUGUAGCUGUGGCAAUGCUGGAUCCUUUAACCCACUGUGCUGGGCCAGGGAUCGAACCUGUACCUGAGCCACAGCAUUUGAAUUCUUAAUCCACUGCACCACAGCUGGACCUCUGCUUCCAUGUUAAUACAUUGGGUGAGAGGAGCUCCCAUUGUGGCACAGUGGAAACGAAUCUGACUAGCAUCUACGAGGAUGCAGGUUUGAGCCCUGGCCUUGUUCAGUGGAUUAAGGAUCCAGCAUUGCUGUGAGCUAUGGUGUAGGUCACAGAUGCGGCUCGGAUCCCACGUUGCUGUGGCUGUGGUGUAGGCUGGCAGCUGCAGCUCCAAUUCGACCCCUAGCCUGGGAACCUCCUUAUGCUGCAGGUGCGGCCUUAAAGAGACCAAAAAAAAAAAAAAAAAAGAAAGAAAAUUAAAAAAUAAAUUUUGAAAAAUAAAACAGUGGGUGAGAGGCUAAUAAUGCAAAGGCUGUUGUUUGACCCGGACUCUGCAACCUGCUAACUGGAUGGUGGGGACAAAGUGGUCCACUUCUUGUCCUCACAGUGGAGACCAGUCCUCACCCAUCCUCUGACUGGCGGUCACCUCACUGACAGGUGUUCACCCUGAGCGCGGUGAAGGGAAGGGCUUUCAGCCUGGAGGACUCGUGGGUGAUUUUGGGCUCUGCUUCCCUUGUCCCCAGGGUUCUUCACAGUGUAUGUGCUACCUUGUGGGUCCUUGAGUAAUGACAUGUGGUGAUGGCCAGCAUCCAAAGCCACAUGCGGCCCCAGGACUUUGGACCCAUCUCCUGAUCAGGCUGGAGGAUAACGGCAUCCCAAAGGGGAAGAUACAUUUGGUGUAGGGUGGGCAACGUAGAGGUUUCUCUGAUGCCAGAUUGUCUAACUUCCAAUCCCAGCUCCAGCUUUGACCAGCUGUGUGAUCUUGGGGAUGUUGCUUAACCUCUCUGAGCCUUAUUUUCUUUACCUAUAAAAUGAGGCUAAUUAUAGCACCUACAUCAGAGGGUUUCACAGGAAUGAGUAAGUUAAUACAGGUAUGAGCUUGGAACAGCGCCUGGCACAUACUAGGCAAUAACUGUUGGCUCUCAUUGUGGUCGAUGUAGUGGGUAUUAUUGUUCUAAUGGAGUGAAAGACUCAGGCCCACACAGGCAGAAUCAUCCUGAGUGGCUUCUGCCCUGGAGCACGGCCUAAUGCCAGUGUCCUGUCUGUUGCCAUUUCUGGGCAGAGCCAAGUACUGGCUUUGGGCCCAGAAGCCCCAGCCACAGUGAGCACAAAGCUGGGCCAUCCAGGGCCAAGGGGCUUCCGCCAUCUCCAGGGCAUCUUGGACGCCUGACGAUUCCUGGCUGGCUGGUGUCCGGAUCCCAGGGCAGGAGGCUGAGCUGACCUCUGCCUUCCUGAGGACAGGCCUGUCCCCUCUGAGUGCUGUGAGCAGUGGGCCGGGGUCCAGAAUGGGGAUUAAAACCACCAGCUCCAGAGUGGACCUCCCUGUGGCCUGGGUGACUGCUCCCCAAUGCCCGGAGCCCCCCUUGCCUUCCGAGCAGCAGCAGCUCUGGGUGGAGCACCCCCGGGCCUGGGGAGCCGGCCCCACCUCUGACACCCAGCAUCUCAGGUUCCACACCUCAGGCUUCUCCUUUUGCUUACAAUUCCGGGAAAAGGCUCCCAUUCAGCUGAAAAUGGGCCGUGGUUUAAAUUGUAGGAAGAACUCCUGCGGGUGGGGAUAGAGGGGGCAGGCCAAGCGGUCAGCCUCACAGCGUGUCCUCUCCUGUUCCCUGCACAGCAUGGACCGAAGCCAAACAGCUUCCUUUGAGCAACAAGGUAGGGCUGGGGCUCCCUGCCGAGGGGACUUGGGUUGUUGUUUUUUUUCCCCUAGGGGUCAAAUCGGAGCUAUACCUGCAGCCUACACCACAACCAUAGCAAUGCCAGAUGUGAGCCGAGUCUGCGACCUACACCACAGCUCACGGCAAUGCCGGUCAGAUCCUUAACCCACUGAGCAAGGCCAGGGCUCCAACCUGCAUCCUCAUGGAUACUAGUUGGGUUCAUUAUGGCUGAGCCACAACAGGAACUCCGGGACUUGUGCUUUUAUGAAGGGGAGGGGAUGCUCACGCCCCCUGGGGCUGGGUCCCCCAUGAGCUUCUCUUCCUCUGUAAGACUCUGUUGCUACUGUCCCACCAUCAAUGACGGAUCAGAUGUUGCUUCUGGGGGAGGAAGGACCAAUGAGUCACCAGCAGGAUCGCCAUACUCAGUGCUGGACAUGCAACACACACACACACACACACACACACACACACACACACGCGCGCGCGCGCGCGCGCGCGCAUAUUUCAAGUCACGCACUGGACCAAGGCAUGGCCAGACAGCGCCUAUUCUUAGGAGGCAGCGAGGAAUUGCCAGUUCUUGGCGUGUCCUCUUUGUUACCUGCCAUCUGGAUGGACAUUUCUGGGAGUACUGGCCCUUAUCUCAAACCAUCAGCCUUUUGCAAAAAAAGCCAUCAACCUUUUUCAAAAAAGCCAUCAGCCUUUAGAACUUGAAAUUCCCGGAGCCACAAACACUCCAUUCUGUGUGCCGUUUCCAUGGCCCCACCUACACCUCCCAGUGCCUCGCCCCUUCCCCGCUUCCUCCUCCUCCCUCUCACCCCUAGUUGCUCCAGUUCUGCUGCCCAAAGGAUGCUGCUCCCUCCUACUCGAGGAAACCGAUUUGCUGCUCCUUCUAUUCCAGCUACUGAUUUUUUUUCCUUAAAAAAAAAAAAAAAAAAAAUCUUGGAGUUCCCAUUGUUGCUCAGGGGGUUACAAACCCGACUAGUAGCCAUGAGGAUGUGGGUUCCAUCCCUGACCUCACCCACUGGGUUAAGGAUCUGGUGUUGCCCUGAGCUGUGGUGUACGAUGAAGACGUGCUCAGAUCUGGCAUUAUGGCUGGGGUGUAGGCCAGCAGCUGCAGCUCUGAUUUGACCCCUAGCUUGGGAACUUCCAUAUGCUGCAGGUGUGGCCCCAAAAAGCAAAAAAA